GACGAACGCUGGCGGCGUGCUUAACACAUGCAAGUCGAACGGAAAGGCCCUGCUUUUGUGGGGUGCUCGAGUGGCGAACGGGUGAGUAACACGUGAGUAACCUGCCCUUGACUUUGGGAUAACUUCAGGAAACUGGGGCUAAUACCGGAUAGGAGCUCCUGCUGCAUGGUGGGGGUUGGAAAGUUUCGGCGGUUGGGGAUGGGCUCGCGGCUUAUCAGCUUGUUGGUGGGGUAGUGGCUUACCAAGGCUUUGACGGGUAGCCGGCCUGAGAGGGUGACCGGCCACAUUGGGACGGAGAUACGGCCCAGACUCCUACGGGAGGCAGCAGUGGGGAAUAUUGCACAAUGGGCGGAAGCCUGAUGCAGCAACGCCGCGUGCGGGAUGACGGCCUUCGGGUUGGAAACCGCUUUCGCCUGUGACGAAGCGUGAGUGACGGUAAUGGGUAAAGAAGCACCGGCUAACUACGUG
This 468-nucleotide ribosomal RNA is filed under the name uncultured bacterium. RNAcentral's name for it is "partial 16S ribosomal RNA". It matches the Rfam family "Bacterial small subunit ribosomal RNA", at positions 28 to 507 of the family's 1533-position model. The record is from RNAcentral.